Molecule: long non-coding RNA, 977 nt
Filed under: Homo sapiens (human)
Lineage: Eukaryota; Metazoa; Chordata; Mammalia; Primates; Hominidae
Description: HSALNT0203301
Source: RNAcentral
GUGCCUAUCAGUUAAGUUUGAUUUUCACCUUUAUCUCUAACAGAUUCAUGGAAGACUUCUAAAGGAAUAAGGGUGGAAGAACAGUCAUAGAAAAAAGGAAAAUACUGAAGUGUCAUUUCACUACGUCUCUAUAAUAUAUUUGACAAAAAAAAGAGUAAAGCACUGCAUAUAUGUCACAAUGUAUAAUACACAAAAGAAUUUUUAUUGUUGUUUUUAGUUGUUUAUUUUUGUUUUUGCUGUACUUUUCAAGACAACAUUACUUUAAACAAGCAUACCUUCAAACACUAGCAGUUUUACUUCAGUUAAUUGAUAAUUAAAACAACAAACAUGUUUUUCAUACAGCUAGAUAGGCCCUCAAACUUAUCAUGUCUUAAAUUUUUCUACUUUGGUUACACCUUAUAACAAGAAUUGGACUUUGUACUACCUAAAAUUUAUGUAUUAAUACGAUACAUUUUCUAAUUUUUUAAAUUCAUUUUCUGGUAGCUUUGUUUGUUUGUUUUUAAACAGGAUCUUACACUGUCACCCAGGCUGGAGUGUAGUGGCACAAUCGCGGCCCACUGCUGCCUUAACCUCCCACGCAUAAGCCAUCCUCCUACCUCAGCCUCCUGAGUAGCUGGAACUACUGGCACAUGCCACCUCACCCAGAUAAUUUGUUAAUUUUUGUAGAGAUGAGUUUUUGUCAUGUUGCCCAGGCUGGCCUUGAACUCCUGGGCUCAAGAAAUCUGACCACCUUGGCCUCCCAAAGUGUUGGGAUUACAGACGUGAGCCACCAUGCCCGGACUUCUUGUGUAAUUUUUUAAAAAAAUGUUAAUGAUUAAAGUGCUAAUGCUAUAGGGACUUUAAGGAUGAUAUUUAAGAGACUCCACAGUAAAAUAUAUCUAAUUUCUCAGUAUUAUUUUUUAUUACUCCAGUGGUACACCAAGUUUUUAAUGUAACUCACAAAUAGAGUACAUUAAAGAAAUAUAACAGAAAAAAAA